GACGAACGCUGGCGGCGUGCUUAACACAUGCAAGUCGAACGGAAAGGCCCUGCUUUUGUGGGGUGCUCGAGUGGCGAACGGGUGAGUAACACGUGAGUAACCUGCCCUUGACUUUGGGAUAACUUCAGGAAACUGGGGCUAAUACCGGAUAGGAGCUCCUGCUGCAUGGUGGGGGUUGGAAAGUUUCGGCGGUUGGGGAUGGACUCGCGGCUUAUCAGCUUGUUGGUGGGGUAGUGGCUUACCAAGGCUUUGACGGGUAGCCGGCCUGAGAGGGUGACCGGCCACAUUGGGACUGAGAUACGGCCCAGACUCCUACGGGAGGCAGCAGUGGGGAAUAUUGCACAAUGGGCGGAAGCCUGAUGAAGCAACGCCGCGUGCGGGAUGACGGCCUUCGGGUUGUAAACCGCUUUCGCCUAUGACGAAGCGUGAGUGACGGUAAUGGGUAAAGAAGCACCGGCUAACUACGUG
This 468-nucleotide ribosomal RNA is filed under the name uncultured bacterium. Its description in RNAcentral is "partial 16S ribosomal RNA". It matches the Rfam family "Bacterial small subunit ribosomal RNA", at positions 28 to 507 of the family's 1533-position model. The record is from RNAcentral.